AAGUGGCAAGACCUUCCUCGUCAUUCCUCCUGCUCUGAGAGGAGGUUGGGCUAGAUGACCUCCUCAUGUCCUUUCUGACCUGAGUUAUCCUAUGAUGAUCCCACUGUGUAGUGUGGCUCUGGAGCAGCACUGUACUCAGAGCACAGCAGCGAAGAAACACCUGCUUUUAAGAUGGCAACUGACAUUUUAAGGGAGGGGAUGACACAGUGCUACACCUGAGAUGGCCCGGAAUAGCCCUCAGGGACACCAAAAAUCUCACAGCCUAUUCCGAUAUCUAAUUCUUUUUAAUUUGGAGGGUGAAAUAACAUGGACAGAUCACAAGAGAGCAUAAACUCUGAGACUUCACUAGUUAAUAAUCAUUCUGUAUUUUGCUAUUGCAGUGCAAAUAGCAAAAACACCUCUGCACCUCUACAGACUCGAUGAUCGUCUACACCAUCUGUGCUGAAAGAGCAGAGAAAGCAAGUGAGAAGCUGUGAAACCGAAUUUCCCUGCAACGCCUCACCUCUGUCUUGUUGUUCUGGCUACUGUGUGUUAGCCUUGCAGACCUGGUCGCCCAGCGGAAUUGGCCCGCAGAGCCAUGCAGCCGGGCUCCCAGCACCGAGAGGAGAUUUCUGGACUGGCACCGAGCUGCGGGGUUCUCAGCAUACGCACGCUGGCAAGUCUUCCUUGUUUCUACAUGUGAUGAAUGACUUCACCUUGAUGACAUUUAAACAAAAACUGGAAUGCCAAGUAUUGCUGGAAUAACUGUUCCCAGACAAAAAGCGAAACCCGCAGAGAUCAGCUGUUAGUGAACUGUAGCCUGCAGAGUGAUAGAAGUGUGCUACAUCUGGUCUGUGGAACUAUAUUGACUUUACAGGAUUUUUAACUGGAAGCAAUGGUAAGAAUGCCUAAGGCCCCCAAGGGACAAAAUGUCAACACUGCCCCUUGAUCUAAGAAUUUGUGGAAUCAUUGUUCAAGAUUAUAAAAAUUAAAUUUUGUGAUACAAUUUUAACAUGGUUUAAAACCUGUCUUGGGUAAAGUCUGCUCUCCAGCUGUUGGACAGGAAGCGAAACAGCCUGUUAAAGCAAACGAUCUACCAUUCCUGUAGACAGGAGAGUUCUGUUCAUUUCCAGUUUCCCUUUGCUAUGGAAGUUCACUACUUAUUGUCUAGACAGCGAUUAUUUGUAAAGAUAUCUAUCAAGAAAUGUUUGAAUAUUGAUUAUACAAUUUCAUUACUGCAAGCACUUGUUUAUUUGUACAAACUAACACUCAGUAAAGUGAUGUUGAAUUUUAUACUGUUAUUAGAUCCAUUCAGGUGAACAAUACGUGGGGGGUUUUUUCCCCGCGUAAGGACUACUGUUUUUCUAAAGCAGCUCUAAUAGCUGUGUGUGAACAUUCCUGCAGAAUCUGUUACAGACAAACAUUAAGGCAUUUUUUCAGAUCUUGUGAUUUGCACUAAAAAGCAAUAUAAGUA
Molecule: long non-coding RNA, 1453 nt
Organism: Dromaius novaehollandiae (emu)
Lineage: Eukaryota; Metazoa; Chordata; Aves; Casuariiformes; Dromaiidae
Exons: 4
Source: RefSeq, a predicted model, not a curated record